GGCUUGAAUGGUUGAAUGGGUCAGAAACUCAUUAACAUAUUUUCUGUUUCACAUGCACACCUGUGCAUUUGUAUUCUCCGAGGUCAUUUGUGUAAGGUUAACGCAUCAGUGCUUCAUGAGUUCAAAUUCCCCGGCUGCAGAGAAUUUCAACUUAUUUUUACAACACGUUCAUCAGAAACCUGCACCAAGAUGAUUGUAGCAAUAACUCUGACUGUGUUGUUGGGAUUUCUGAGUCAGGAGUCGACUGCCAACAACUUCCUGACUCACACUGACAAACAUUUAUCUGUCAGUCUUGGAGGGACAGUCACCAUCAGAGCCACAGGGAGUUCAAAUAUUGGUGCUGAUCUCAGUUGGUAUCUUCAGAAACCUGGACAGGCUCCCAAACUUCUGAUAUAUGACGCUACAACACUGCACUCAGGAACUCCGUCCAGAUUCAGUGGCAGCUACUCUGGUUCUGACUAUAGUCUAAGGGUCAGUGGUGUUCAGGCUGAAGAUCUUGGAGAUUACUACUGUCUUGGUUAUCAUAGCGAUUAUACAUUCACACAGUGAUUCAGAGUCGUACAA
Non-coding RNA from Cynoglossus semilaevis (tongue sole), 564 nucleotides. NCBI's taxonomy places the organism in Eukaryota, Metazoa, Chordata, Actinopteri, Pleuronectiformes, Cynoglossidae. The record is from the annotation of a RefSeq genome assembly.